UAUGUGAUCGUCUCUCGCAUAUCAAUAAGCGGAGGAAAAGAAACUAACAAGGAUUCCCCUAGUAACGGCGAGUGAAGCGGGAAGAGCUCAAAUUUGAAAUCUUAAAGGGUUUCCCUUUACGAAUUGUAGUUUAAAGAAGUGUUUUCUGUUGAGGUUUUGGUAAAAGUUCUUUGGAAUAGGACAUUAUAGAGGGUGAGAAUCCCGUAUUUGACCUUUACUUUCAACUUUGUGAUACACUUUCAAAGAGUCGGAUUGUUUGGGAAUGCAGUCCAAAAUGGGUGGUAAAUUUCAUCUAAAGCUAAAUAUUGGCGAGAGACCGAUAGCGAACAAGUACCGUGAGGGAAAGAUGAAAAGAACUUUGAAAAGAGAGUUAAACAGUACGUGAAAUUGUCAAAAGGGAAGCGUUUGACACCAGUGUUGUUUUUCUGAAAAUCAAUUAAAGAACUGUUUAUGCUAAGCUGUUUAGACUUUAUCAGCUAAUCUGUUUAGUUUUGAGCUUUUCUUUAAUGCACUUUUCAGUUAACAAGUCAACAUCAAUUUCUUUUGCUGUAAAAAAGCUUGAGGAAGGUGGCUUGAGAUUCGUCUUAAGUGUUUAUAGCCUCUUGCCUAUGCAGUCGGAGAGAUUGAGGUCUGCAGCGUAGAUCCUUCGGGGCUAAAUGCAUUUGUGCUAAGUUAUAACAUUUUAUAGACAACUUGUUGACUAUGAUUUGUCUUGUAGCUUACUCGCUUAUGUUAUUUUACCUACGCUUAGGAUGUUGAGUAGCGACAUACGCAC
This 775-nucleotide ribosomal RNA is filed under the name uncultured Neocallimastigales. RNAcentral's name for it is "partial large subunit ribosomal RNA". It matches the Rfam family "Eukaryotic large subunit ribosomal RNA", at positions 24 to 649 of the family's 3401-position model. Lineage: Eukaryota; Fungi; Neocallimastigomycota; Neocallimastigomycetes; Neocallimastigales. The record is from RNAcentral.